Molecule: transfer RNA, 74 nt
Filed under: Polyangiaceae bacterium
Lineage: Bacteria; Pseudomonadati; Myxococcota; Polyangiales; Polyangiaceae
Rfam family: tRNA
About the family: Transfer RNA (tRNA) molecules are approximately 80 nucleotides in length. Their secondary structure includes four short double-helical elements and three loops (D, anti-codon, and T loops). Further hydrogen bonds mediate the characteristic L-shaped molecular structure. tRNAs have two regions of fundamental functional importance: the anti-codon, which is responsible for specific mRNA codon recognition, and the 3' end, to which the tRNAs corresponding amino acid is attached (by aminoacyl-tRNA synthetases). tRNAs cope with the degeneracy of the genetic code in two manners: having more than one tRNA (with a specific anti-codon) for a particular amino acid; and 'wobble' base-pairing, i.e. permitting non-standard base-pairing at the 3rd anti-codon position.
Source: Rfam by way of RNAcentral
GCGUCCAUAGCUCAGCUGGAUAGAGCACAGGCCUACGAAGCCUGGGGUCGGAAGUUCGAAUCUUCCUGGACGCG